This 253-nucleotide ribosomal RNA is filed under the name uncultured bacterium. Its description in RNAcentral is "partial 16S ribosomal RNA". It matches the Rfam family "Bacterial small subunit ribosomal RNA", at positions 15 to 263 of the family's 1533-position model. The record is from RNAcentral.
GAUCAUGGCUCAGGAUGAACGCUAGCGACAGGCUUAACACAUGCAAGUCGAGGGGCAGCACGGUGUAGCAAUACACUGGUGGCGACCGGCGCACGGGUGAGUAACACGUGUGCAACCAACCCCGUACCGGGAGAUAACCCGCGGAAACGUGGACUAACAUCCCAUGAGACUCGAGAGCCGCAUGGCUCUAGAUUUAAAAUUCCGGUGGUACGGGACGGGCACGCGCGACAUUAGGUAGUUGGCGGGGUAACGG